GACGAACGCUGGCGGCGUGCUUAACACAUGCAAGUCGAACGGAAAGGCCCUGCUUUUGUGGGGUGCUCGAGUGGCGAACGGGUGAGUAACACGUGAGUAACCUGCCCUUGACUUUGGGAUAACUUCAGGAAACUGGGGCUAAUACCGGAUAGGAGCUCCUGCUGCAUGGUGGGGGUUGGAAAGUUUCGGCGGUUGGGGAUGGACUCGCGGCUUAUCAGCUUGUUGGUGGGGUAGUGGCUUACCAAGGCUUUGACGGGUAGCCGGCCUGAGAGGGUGACCGGCCACAUUGGGACUGAGAUACGGCCCAGACUCCUACGGGAGGCAGCAGGGGGGAAUAUUGCACAAUGGGCGGAAGCCAGAUGCAGCAACGCCGCGUGCGGGAUGACGGCCUUCGGGUUGUAAACCGCUUUCGACUGUGACGAAGCGUGAGUGACGGUAAUGGGUAAAGAAGCACCGGCUAACUACGUG
Molecule: ribosomal RNA, 468 nt
Filed under: uncultured bacterium
Lineage: Bacteria
Description: partial 16S ribosomal RNA
Rfam family: Bacterial small subunit ribosomal RNA
Source: RNAcentral